Molecule: ribosomal RNA, 253 nt
Filed under: uncultured bacterium
Lineage: Bacteria
Description: partial 16S ribosomal RNA
Rfam family: Bacterial small subunit ribosomal RNA
Source: RNAcentral
UACGGGGGGGGCAAGCGUUGUUCGGAAUUACUGGGCGUAAAGCGUGCGCAGGCGGUUUUGUAAGUCAGAUGUGAAAUCCCCGGGCUUAACCUGGGAACUGCGUUUGAAACUACAAGGCUAGAGUGUGGCAGAGGGGGGUGGAAUUCCACGUGUAGCAGUGAAAUGCGUAGAGAUGUGGAGGAACACCGAUGGCGAAGGCAGCCCCCUGGGUUAACACUGACGCUCAGGCACGAAAGCGUGGGGAGCAAACAGG